Non-coding RNA from Trichodesmium erythraeum IMS101, 287 nucleotides. Lineage: Bacteria; Bacillati; Cyanobacteriota; Cyanophyceae; Oscillatoriales; Microcoleaceae. The record is from Rfam.
AUUUCUAUUUGUUGAGGGCAAAUAAAGUGAAUAUGACUAUCUAUUCCCCCGGCCGUGAUAAUAUGUCCUUCUCCGGCAAUUAUUUCAGUAGAUGGACCAAUGAUAAUAUCUACCCGAUCUUGAAUAUAAGGAUUACCUGCUUUACCUAUUUUAUGAAUUUUGCCGUCUUUAAUUCCAAUAUCCGCUUUGACCACACCCCACCAAUCUAAAAUUAGGGCAUUGGUAAUUACUAAAUCUACCGCACCACCUUCACGGGAUAUGGGAGAUUGUCCCAUGCCAUCACGAAU